GUUUGAUCCUGGCUCAGGAUGAACGCUAGCGGCAGGCUUAAUACAUGCAAGUCAAGGGGGUAGCAAUACUACCGGCGCACGGGUGAGUAACACGUACAUAACAUACCAUAUACUGGGGUAUAGCUUUGGGAAACUGAAGGUAAUCCCCCAUAACAUUGCGAGAGGGCAUCUGAUUGCAAUUAAAGUUUCGACGGUAUAUGAUUGAUGUGCGUUUGAUUAGCUUGUUGGUAGGGUAACGGCCUACCAAGGCGACGAUCAAUAGCUGGCGUGAGAGCGCGACCAGCCACACUGGAACUGAGACACGGUCCAGACUCCUACGGGAGGCAGCAGUAGGGAAUAUUGGACAAUGGGCGAAAGCCUGAUCCAGCCAUGCCGCGUGAUAGAUGAAGGCCCUCUGGGUUGUAAAUAUCUUUUAUCUGGGAAGAAACAAUCUUAUUCUUAAGAUCUUGACGGUACCAGAGGAAUAAGCACCGGCUAACUCCGUG
Molecule: ribosomal RNA, 485 nt
Filed under: uncultured bacterium
Lineage: Bacteria
Description: bacterial SSU rRNA
Rfam family: Bacterial small subunit ribosomal RNA
Source: RNAcentral